RNAcentral lists this long non-coding RNA (1266 nucleotides) under Fukomys damarensis (Damara mole-rat). RNAcentral's name for it is "lncRNA (ENSFDAG00000023574.1)". Lineage: Eukaryota; Metazoa; Chordata; Mammalia; Rodentia; Bathyergidae. The record is from RNAcentral.
AAUCAACAGAUAGGUUCCUGGUUUCCUCAGGCAGCUAAUUGUGCCACACUUGGAUUCCAUUAUGGCAAAUUAGAUGUUUGCAGAAGAGAAGAAUGAUAGUGGUAUAUUUUACCCACUAUGAUGCUCAGUGAUAAAUAUGUAAUGCACGGAGCAUUAUGUGGGUAAAAUUUCGAUUUGUCACUUUUGCACAGGUGUACACACCUUGCCAUUCAUCACACCAACUGGGUGAACAGAAAGAUUACUUUCUGUGUCCUUCAGGUGCAGCUCCUGAAGUACACAGAGGCUACCAUUAUGUUGAAGUAUAUAAUUUCAUUAGAAAAGUAUGGAAUAUGUUAUGGUAACCCACAAUAAUGCCCAUUAAUUAAAAUAAACUUCUAAAAUUAAAAUGUUUUAUUCUUAGGAUUUAAGAUUAUCCUAUAUUAGGUAUUUUAUACAUAUUAUCAUGUUAAAAUAUAACCAUCUUAAAGUUAUAUCUUAACAUCUGCUAUGAUAAAUAUGAUAACCAUAGGACUUACAGUCCUAAUUAAUUCACUUUGUUUUGUAUUUAAGAGUUUGAAGAUGGUGAUCUGUCAGCAUGGAUCAGUAGGGAAAGGUUUCAGAAUUAUCUUACUAUGGAUGGCUUCCUCUUAUAUGAACUUGGAGACACAGGAUGAAGACUCCCUUGCUGCUAAAUGCUGAGCCAGGUGUCAACAAGAAGGGUACAGCACACUCUUAUGUCACCAAGUUUCCCAGAGAUGCCAGCCUAACUAAGCACCAACAGCUCCUGAGGGCGGGAUGGAGGACAGAGAUAAAUAGGACAAACCUGGGAGAAGAUUGUCAUAAUGGAGGUCCUGAGCUCUCAGUUCUGGAGUGGUUUCUCAACUGGAAAUGCAGAGAAACACACACACACACACACACACACACACACACACACACACACUCAUGUAGAGAAAUACAGAGAACUUACUUUAAACAAAAAGGCAAUAUCAUUAUUCUGAGAAAUUAAUUUCAUUACCUAAUGCAAUCAGUCCAAGAAACUUAAUAGCUAUAAUUAAGAACUCAAUAUCACAGAUGAACCAAGUCCUUAAUGUGUUAUCUGCCCUACUAAAAGUUACACAGCAUUUUACUAGUAAAACCAUCACCAAAAGUAAGAUGAUCUUGGUUUAGAAUCACAGGUGUUAAUCUUUUAACACAAGGUUAUUCUUGUCAAAGUCCACAUAGGAUCAGUGGGUGGACAGGUUCCUCAGCCCAAGCCUUCUGAAUGGACAAUGCCAGAGCUCUAGCCCU